UACGGAGGAUCCCAGCGUUAUCCGGAUUUAUUGGGUUUAAAGGGUGCGUAGGCGGCCUAUUAAGUCAGGGGUGAAAGACGGUAGCUUAACUAUCGCAGUGCCUUUGAUACUGAUGGGCUUGAAUACACUAGAGGUAGGCGGAAUGUGACAAGUAGCGGUGAAAUGCAUAGAUAUGUCACAGAACACCAAUUGCGAAGGCAGCUUACUAUGGUGCAAUUGACGCUGAGGCACGAAAGCGUGGGGAUCAAACAGG
This 253-nucleotide ribosomal RNA is filed under the name uncultured bacterium. RNAcentral's name for it is "partial 16S ribosomal RNA". It matches the Rfam family "Bacterial small subunit ribosomal RNA", at positions 524 to 776 of the family's 1533-position model. The record is from RNAcentral.